GAUGAACGCUAGCGGCAGGCUUAAUACAUGCAAGUCGAGGGGUCAGCAAUGACACCGGCGGACGGGUGCGUAACGCGUAUGCAACCUACCUACAUCAGGGGGAUAGCCCUAGGAAACUGGGAUUAACACCGCAUAAUAUUAUUAAUGGCAUCAUUGAUAAUUGAAAUAUUUAUAGGAAGUAGAUGGGCAUGCGUAAGAUUAGCUAGUUGGUAAGGUAACGGCUUACCAAGGCUACGAUCUUUAGGGGCUCUGAGAGGAGUAUCCCCCACACUGGCACUGAGAUACGGGCCAGACUCCUACGGGAGGCAGCAGUAGGGAAUAUUGGGCAAUGGAGGCAACUCUGACCCAGCCAUGCCGCGUGCAGGAAGACGGCCCUCUGGGUUGUAACUGCUUUUGAAUGGGAAAAUGUGUGGCUUGCGAGCUAUAAUGACGGUACCAUUAGAAUAAGCCACGGCUAACUACGUGCCAGCAGCCGCGGUAAAACGU
This 486-nucleotide ribosomal RNA is filed under the name uncultured bacterium. RNAcentral's name for it is "bacterial SSU rRNA". It matches the Rfam family "Bacterial small subunit ribosomal RNA", at positions 28 to 528 of the family's 1533-position model. The record is from RNAcentral.